GCAAUCAAAAAAUGCAGAAACCCCUAAAAGCGAAAACCCAGAAAAGCAAAGGAAUUUCAUGCAGUAGAUUAGUAAAGAGUAAUGAAAGAGAGAGAGAGAGAAGGGUAAGGAAAACGGAGACGGCGCUGAAGAGAAAUGGGAAAAGGGUAGCUUACCCUUUUGCAAGAUUCGAUCUGCAGAAGGAAGGAGAUUUGCAGAUUGGAAUGAGGGGAGGAGGAGGAAGAAAGAAGUGAAAGAGAGUGAAGGAAAGAGGAGGAGGAGGAGGAGGAGGAGGAGGGAGCUUGUCUCCCAGUGUGAGCUGUAAAGGCAAUAAAAUUCCCCCCCAAGGGAAAGAAAAUAUAAUAUUCCCCAAUAUAGUAAUGAUAAUGAUAAUGAUAAUAAUAAAGGAAAUAACGGGAAGGAGAAAUGGAGAAAGUUAUCUGUUGGGGAAUUAUUAUAAACAAAAAUGAAUUCUUCUGGUUUUGGCUUGGGGAUGUGCCUGUUGGUGGUGGUGGGCGGUGGCGGAAGAGUGAGUGAGAGUGGUGUUGAAGAAAAUAAAUACUGUGUUGGAGUGGAGAGUGAAGAAGCUGCCUUUGG
Molecule: long non-coding RNA, 576 nt
Filed under: Linum usitatissimum (flax)
Lineage: Eukaryota; Viridiplantae; Streptophyta; Magnoliopsida; Malpighiales; Linaceae
Description: long non-coding RNA (LUSI_LNC007329)
Source: RNAcentral